ACAACAAAUAUAGUUGACCUAUUGCUUAUAGUUUAAGAAAAACAGACAAAAACACAAAAACUUAGCACUGAGCAAUGAACCUUGAAAAUGAGGUCAAGGUCAAAUAAAACCUGCGUGACUGACAUAUAGAUCAUAAAAUAUUUCCAUACACCAAAUAUAGUUGAACUAUUGCAUAUAGUAUUAGAAAAAAAGACAAAAACUCAAAAACUUAACUUUGACCACUGAACCAUGAAAAUGAGGUCAAGGUCAGAUGACACCUGCCAGCUAGACAUGUACACCUUACAAUCAUUCCAUACACCAAAUAUAGAAGACCUAUUGCAUACAGUAUAAGAAAAACAGACCAAAACACAAAAACUUAACUAUAACCACUGAACCAUGAAAAUGAGGUCAAGGUCAGAUGACACCUGCCAGCUAGACAUGUACACCUUACAAUCAUUCCAUACACCAAAUAUAGAAGACCUAUUGCAUACAGUAUAAGAAAAACAGACCAAAACACAAAAACUUAACUAUAACCACUGAACCAUGAAAAUGAGGUCAAGGUCAGAUGACACCUGCCAGUUGGACAUGUACACCUUACAGUCCUUCCAUACACCGAAUAUACUAGACCUAUUGCUUAUAGUAUCUGAGAUAUGGACUUGACCACCAAAACUUAACCUUGUUCACUGAUCCAUGAAAUGAGGUCGAGGUCAAGUGAAAACUGUCUGACGGGCAUGAGGACCUUGCAAGGUACGCACAUACCAAAUAUAGUUAUCCUAUUACUUAUAAUAAGAGAGAAUUUAACAUUACAAAAAAUCUAAACUUUUUUUUCAAGUAGUCACUGAACCAUGAAAAUGAGGUCAAGGACAUUGGACAUGUGACUGACGGAAACUGCGUAACAUGAGGCAUCCAUAUACAAAGUAUGAAGCAUCCAGGUCUUCCAUCUUCUAAAAUAUAAAGCUUUUAAGAAGUUAGCUAACGCCGCCGCCGCCGCCGGAUCGCUAUCCCUAUGUCGAGCUUUCUGCGACAAAAGUCGCAGGCUCGACAAAAACAGGACCCAAAAUUAAAAAUCUAAAUACACGGUUAGAUUUGGCAUAUCAAAGAACCCCAAUAAUUCAAUUUUUGAUGAAAUCAAACAAAGUUUAAUUUUGGACCCUUUUGACCUCAAUAUGAACCAAUUUGAUAGCGGGGUCCACAAAUAAAAAAUCUAAGUACAUGGUUAGAUUCAGCAUAUCAAAGAACCCAAUAUAUUCAAUUUUUGUUGAAAUCAAACAAAGUUUUAUUUGGGCCCCAAUUUGGACCAACUUGAAAACUGGGCCAAAAAUCAAAAA
This is a long non-coding RNA of Mytilus californianus (California mussel), 1307 nucleotides long. RefSeq lists it as uncharacterized. The transcript has 2 exons. Lineage: Eukaryota; Metazoa; Mollusca; Bivalvia; Mytilida; Mytilidae. The record is from RefSeq and is a predicted model, not a curated record.